UAGGGAAUUGUUCGCAAUGGGCGCAAGCCUGACGACGCAACGCCGCGUGGAGGAUGAAGACCUUCGGGUCGUAAACUCCUUUCGAUCGAGACGAAUGGCUUCCGGCCUAACAUGCCGGGAGAAUGACGGUACCGAGAGAAGAAGCCCCGGCUAACUCCGUGCCAGCAGCCGCGGUAAUACGGGGGGGGCAAGCGUUGUUCGGAAUUACUGGGCGUAAAGGGCUCGUAGGUGGCCAACUAAGUCAGACAUGAAAUCCCUCGGCUUAACCGGGGAACUGCGUCUGAUACUGGAUGGCUUGAGAUUGGGAGAGGGAUGCGGAAUUCCAGGUGUAGCGGUGAAAUGCGUAGAUAUCUGGAGGAACACCGGUGGCGAAGGCGGCAUCCUGGACCAACACUGACACUGAGGAGCGAAAGCCAGGGGAGCAAACGG
RNAcentral lists this ribosomal RNA (429 nucleotides) under uncultured bacterium. RNAcentral describes it as "bacterial SSU rRNA". It matches the Rfam family "Bacterial small subunit ribosomal RNA", at positions 355 to 775 of the family's 1533-position model. The record is from RNAcentral.